GUGUUUCACCUUUCAGCACUGCAUAUACUAUCACUGGAAAGACACGGGGUUAGCACAGUCCCUGUGAAAGAAUGACAUACAAAUCUGCGAAACAUUUCUUAUUUUA
RNAcentral lists this small nuclear RNA (106 nucleotides) under Rattus norvegicus (Norway rat). The record is from RNAcentral. Lineage: Eukaryota; Metazoa; Chordata; Mammalia; Rodentia; Muridae.